AACGUAGGCAGCGAGCGUUGUUCGGAAUUACUGGGCGUAAAGAGUGUGUAGGCGGUGCUCUAAGUUCGGUGUGAAAUCUCCUGGCUUAACUGGGAGGGUGCGCCGGAAACUGGGGUGCUCGAGCGUGGGAGAGGAAAGCGGAAUUCCUGGUGUAGCGGUGAAAUGCGUAGAUAUCAGGAGGAACACCUGUGGUGUAGACAGCUUUCUGGACCAUUGCUGACGCUGAGACACGAAAGCGUGGGUAGCAAACAGG
RNAcentral lists this ribosomal RNA (253 nucleotides) under uncultured bacterium. Its description in RNAcentral is "partial 16S ribosomal RNA". It matches the Rfam family "Bacterial small subunit ribosomal RNA", at positions 524 to 776 of the family's 1533-position model. The record is from RNAcentral.